Molecule: long non-coding RNA, 267 nt
Organism: Labeo rohita (rohu)
Lineage: Eukaryota; Metazoa; Chordata; Actinopteri; Cypriniformes; Cyprinidae
Exons: 3
Source: RefSeq, a predicted model, not a curated record
UUAGAUUAACAGACAUAUUUUGUCCAUUACAGAUCAGAGCCUUCCCUUGUUUUACAUUCUGCUGAUUUCUACUGCUGGAUCUCUUUUGAUUGUAGCUGCAGUUGUGAUGGGCUGCAGGAAAUGUAGAAAAACAGUCGACACUCAGGAGGAGGACAGAAUGGAUUCAGCAUUGUUUAAACCAGCAACAAGAAAAAUGAAAUCCAAGACGGAUACUGAGUAUGAAAAUGUGCCCAAAAAACGACCAUAUCUACUGAAAUUCUGAAACUG